AAAACCUGGAAGCGAGACUACCAACUGCUUCAUUAGGAGUAGAGAUAUGUCAGAUCGGACGGAUAGCAUGGUAUUAAUCCUACGGUCAUCGAGUGGUCUGAUGGGAAGCAAGGGAUCAGUAGUCUGAUCCCUAGCGUUCCCCCUUCUUCCCUCGAUCCCCAACGCCCCCCGAUCCUAUCGCCGCCGCUGCCUACCACGCCUCCUACCGGCGUGCCAGCACCAACGCCUCCUUCCCGGCGCACCGUCGUCCCCGCCUCCUCCCGGCACGAGGCCGCCUCCAGACUCCUCCUGGGACGCCGUCGCCCCCGCCUUCCUCCUGGCGCGCCGCCGCCCCUGUCUUCUUCAACUGCCACCAUGGACCACCACCUCUGCCCCGAUCCACCUUGGUAGUGGAUCCUGAGCGCCGUCGCUGACCAUGGAUCCUGGGCGCCGCCGCCUGUCUUUGGAUCCCGCCCGCCGCCGCCGGGGUCCCCGACUGAAGACGACCAAGCCAUGGAUCCUGGGUGCCAUCGCGGGCCGUGGAUCCCGGGGCGGCACCGCCUAGCUCUGAUCCCGCCGGCCGCCACCGAGGUUCCCGACUGAAGAUGCCCUAUGCCGCGGCACUCAGGCCAUUCGCCACCGCCACCUCUUGCAGUUCACCGCCACCAUCCAGCGCGCCCCCGGUCGCCCCCAGGACGCCAGGAACCACCUGACUCCCCUGGUUCGCCUACAUCGUGGGAUCACUUCGCGUCGGUUCGCGAGGCCACAACCCCUGCCCUCCAAUUUCAUCACUUUUUUGUGUUUGUCCUCUGAAAAAAUUGGCCAUCGUUGCAGGCUAGCUUCACCAGAUUAUUCAGUUCAGCUCUAAACAAAUGAGCAUUAUACUUUGUUGUCCAGUUUUGGGAAGGUUGAAAUUGUUCCAGAAGGUGAAAAAUAUGUCCAAGUAUAUCAGCAGCUUUGGGAAGGUAGAAAUUGUUCCAGAAGGUGAAAAAUAUGUCCAAGUAUAUUUUCUAGAACACCGACACUCUCUGGACAUCAUUGGUAUAUGCUACAAUUAUCCCUCGAGAUUGAUGUUAUCAACCACUAUCAAAUAUUCCCUGGACAUCAUUGGUACUACUAAUCUCCACAUAUAUGCACAACUAAGUGCAAUCAGUCUGUUCUGAACACCUGCAGCAGGCAUGGCCUCAUGCUACAGUUCAACUUUCAAUUACCUGUUACAGAGAGCCUGACAGGACUUCCUCCGCCGACAGACACUGCACGCCAUGAGAAAGUUCAGGGAAUAUUUGAUAGUGGAAGCUACACUGUCACUGUGCACCACAGCUGAUAAAGUUUCUCCAAUAAUGCUGCACCUUUUAUUUCCUCAUCAUCUGCCUUUCUCCCAAGCUUUUAGUAUUUCUUUUGCAUGCCAGAAUGGCUGGAGCGCAAAGUGAAGCCUGAAGCCAACCUGUGUUGUGAGCAUCAGUAGCUAGUCACGUGCUGCGCUGGGCCAACAAAACAGCUUGCAGUUUUGUUCAUUUCAAGGCGGUUAGGUGGGGUGGGAAUCCUAUUUAUUCAGAUGCGCUUGUACCAACACUAAUUAUUUUGAUUGACGUGAUAGUACUAAUCUACUGACAUGGUCCGGGAAAGGCCACUACAGUGACUAAAUUUAACCAGGGAUUCGCACUUUUGUGGCGCUGCAGAGAUCACAUCGUUUUUUC
Triticum aestivum (bread wheat) is the source of this 1676-nucleotide long non-coding RNA. RefSeq lists it as uncharacterized. The record is from RefSeq and is a predicted model, not a curated record. NCBI's taxonomy places the organism in Eukaryota, Viridiplantae, Streptophyta, Magnoliopsida, Poales, Poaceae. The transcript is spliced from 2 exons.